GCUGGGGAGCAACGGGGCACUGUGUGCAGCCCCUCCUGGGCUCCGCUCCGUCCCCUCUGCACGUCAUCUCUUUGCCACAUAUGCAGAUGCCUCAAUGAGCUCAGACUCAGAACCUUGCAGGGUGUCAAUCAGGGGGUGGUGGAGCUGGGAGUGGAAGCGCUCCGCAGCUCUGCUGAUGUUUGUUGCACAGCACAGAGCUGUCUCGUCCCACACAGCUCCUGGAGGUCCGGGCACGUGCUCCAGGUGAGCAAAUUAGGGAAGGAGGUGGUUCUGCCAAUGGUCCAUCCUGGCUGGAAGGAGAGCACACAAAAGCUCGUCCUGCCCGUGCGCAUCGCUAGGUGAUGCUCAGCGCACCCCCAGCUCGGUGUCCAGGUGGUGCCUGCAGAUGUUGUCACUGCUGGUGCUGGUCCUCCUGGUGAGGACAGCCGCACACGCCAGCUGCACUCAUCCUCUCCCCACGCUGCCUGGCAAGCCAUGGGAUGCUCCCUGGGGUGGCCUGGACUCGUUCUGCAGACCCAGUGUCUCUGGAGGGGUUACUUGGGGUUGAGCUUCAAGCCAGCGGAGUAUGGGCUCUUCCAUCAGUUGCCGCUCAAACACAAAGAGCCCCUCCUUCCCACCGGAGCUCUGUGCCCCAUUUACCUGCCCUGUUCCAGGCUGGGAGCUGGAGAAUGGAUGCCAGCACCGAAGCCUGUGGGAAGCAGCAGGAAGCUGAAGAGUGCAAUGUAUCCCACCUGGCAAAGGGCUUCUGCUCCAUCCCUCCUGCUCUGCUGCUACCGAGAUGGUGGUUACAUCACUGCUGCUUCCUGCAGCUCCCGUGUUUCAGCAGCUCUCAGAGGGCAUGAUAGCAAAUCACCCUGGGAGCCGUCUGUGAUAAAAAGUGCAAUACAAACAGAUAAUAUCAUCAUACUCCACUAUUAACAGGCUUAAAUCCCAAGGAUGGGGAGAAGUUCCUGUGGAGAGCAAGCUAUCUCUCAACCACUUCUGCUGCAAUUUAAAAGCACUCCCCAGCCUGGCAAGGCUAAUUUCACAUCUCUUCUGCUCUGGGUUAUCGAUCUGGGUUUCUCCCUGUGUGAAGCCUGAGCCCUCCGUGACUGAUGAUGUUCACUGGGGGGGUUCUGGUUCUCACUGCCCCUAUGGGGCGGGAUGGAGGUGCCCAGCUGUGUCCCACUGUUGGGUCUGUGCCUCACUCACCUCAUCUCCCAUCCAUUCGUGGGUCUCUGCAGCUACUCGGGGGGGUGAUGUAAGCUGUCCCUUUGUGAUGGGACAGAUGAUGCCAGCAGUAAUGCCCACAGCCUCGCAGGGAGGAAUAGCUCCUGGGCUGCACCUCAUGGAGCAGAUGUUGUGGUCUUUGACUGUUCUGUAUGGAGGAGUGUCAUGGGUGAGGGACCCGUAAGGAUCCUGGAGUCCAACUCCUGAAUGGAUGGAGGGAGAGAAGAGUUAUCCUGACAGGGGGACUGCAGGAGGACUGAGGAGCUGCAGCUGCUGCUAUGGCCCCGUGUUGCCAUCAGCCCCACCACUCGCUCAGGGCACGAGCUGGGCCCCAGUUCACACCCCACUUGUUUCCAACUGCUUUGAAGUCCCUGCCUUUCUCUUUAUCACUCCUUCCACGGUGGGGGCUUUUCCCCCACUCAGUGUUGUUUCUCUGCUCAUCUCCGGUGCAGACAAGGCAGGAAACGUAUUCUCAAUAUAUUAAUUAGAACUUCUUUGCAGCAGAACAUCUGCAUGGGGAGCGAUAGAUAGAUCACCGAAGUGUGUGCGCGCGUGUGCGUGCGGUGCAGGCUUCCAGAUAACGCAUUGCUUUGCAUAAUGUAUUCCAGCCAGCGCAGCAAUAAUUUCCAUAGCCUGUGAUCUUCAAGUACGCGAUUAUAAAUCUGCGGCCCGGCUCCACGUGACCCAGCCAUUAGAUUACUGCCAGAUAAACCUCCCGGAGCUGUAGGAGGUUUGGGUCUCCAUCAGCUCUGCCUCAAUGGGCUCUGUGGGCUGAGACCAAACGCUCGGGUUGGUUCCAUCCCGCCGUGCCAAAGCCAUUGGUCUGCUCAGGUGUUCGUCACUCUCGGCUGUCUGGGGAGAGGACGGUCUUUGCCAGUGGUGCUAUUCAGUUUCCUGGUUGUACACUUCGUGUAGGUUUAGCUUGAAAGAUAAUAAGAUAAAAAAACAGAGACAUCCCAGUCAAUAAGAGGAAACCUCAGAGGCUUUUUCCAUCUUGCAUCUGUCAUACUUUGUUGAUAUUUUAGCUGCAGAGCACUUGACAGCUGGUUGUAAUACUCAUUUCCUCCUUUGAGAGAAUUAAAUGACAAACAUUUCAUUUAUCCCAAGGAGGAUUCCCCAAGUGACCCGUGGAAGAGGCCCCUUUAUAGCAGCUGGACCGAAGUGGGAGGGACUCAGAGCCCCCUCCACCUGGGACUGAUAAGUGAUUUUGUCCACUUUCCAUCCCCGUUACCUCUUUUCAUCCAUACACCACCUCCGUGCUGUCCAUCCUGGUCACUGAGGGCCACAACCCUCCGCCGGCACCCAGUAACGUCCCAGAGCAGCCCCGCAUUGGGCACUGCUCCGCUGAGCAAUGGUACGAUUGGGAAUGGCAAUGGGAGCACUCCUUGGGACGCUGCUUCCCUGCCUGUUUAGCCCCUUAACGUCCUGACCUGCUAAUGGUUAAUGGCAUUAACCAACAUCAAGCAAAAGCUCCCUUACCUGUGCCAAGGGCAGGCUGCUGCUCAAAGCAGCACAGUAAUUAUGUAUAGCCCAAGUAAUUAUUUUUGUCACAUCUCCUGGCAGGAGACAACCAUUUGUGGGAUGGGUUUAGCUACCUCCAGCAACGCGCCUAUGUCUUAUUUACCCAGAACAAUGCGCUCAGCGUGAUUUUUUUUCCAUCUCCUUUUUCCUUCUACCAUCAUUUUCAGCCCACACCGCUUUUAAUUCAGCAAGGCAAAUCAAGAUUCGGAAGGGAGGCUGCAGAAAUCCUCCCAGCUCCCAUUCACUGAGCAGAAAACCCCUUUUCCCUGGGGUCUGUUGGCGUUGCCAGCAGUGCUGGCAGCAGGCUCUGCCCUUUCCUAAGGGGGGUUGGGUCUCAGGGGAGGAAUAACGCUAUGUUGGACGGCGGUUGUCAGCGUGUGGCUGUGUCUCUCCAUGGGAUGCUCUCGCAGUUUGCAGCCUCCGAGUCCCGCGUUCCUCUCUCCAGGCUGUGCUCAGCCAGCCCAGGGCCGCUCGGGGCAGCAGAGCAGGGCUCCCUGCUGCGGGGAUACGGGGGAAGGAGAGGCACGGAGUGACUCAUCACUGAGCCGCCUCCCCACUAUUCGCGUUUGCCUUUCGCUCUUUCCAGCCUUCAAAUAAAGGAGGAACUGAGAUGAUGUCAUUAAUCCUCAAUUUGGUAGGGUGGAUAUCUGGAUUCACGGCUGGAUUUCCAGUUUGUAAGCUUCACCCAGCUUACAGAUUUUGGAGCCGGAGAGUUUAAGUACCAACAGCUGUGCCCUAACCUAUCCUGCUUUGUUGCUUCCCCCACACACUGAAGCAGUUCUCUGCUUUUUCCCCUUCUCCCUUUGGUCUGAAACACGAGUGACCCUAACACAGCCCGUCUCCCAGGGGCAAUCAGACCAUCCCACAGCCAGUUCCCUGGGCUGCGCUUUCCUUUCUGUAGGCAUCUUGAAAAUGCAGCUUGGAGAUUCUGGCACGGUCUCCCAUGCUGGAUUUAGCAUCCCGUGCCUGCUGUGUUUGCUGUGGAAUUGCACAGCCUUGAAAGACAGACAUUAUUACUAUUUUGCAUGGGGACAGCCUAUGAGCUGUUUAAUACACGAGUGCUCACUCAAAGGUGUCCUUUCAUUUACUGCUGCCGCCAUCAGCAGCCUAUAAAAGUUGAGGGUGCCUCAGGGAAUUGUGUGAAUGUGCUCACCUCGGUGGUGAUCCCAGGUCUCUGCAUCACGUCAGAGCAUCACCAGUUCUCCCCACACUGUCUUUCUCCCUUCUCCUUCCUCCUCCUCUAAGCCUGCUUUGCUGUAACUAUUGCAAAGGAUUUAGUUGGGGGGACAGUGCUGUUCAAAGCCCUUUAAUUUGAGGGAUGCUCAUUCACUCUGCUCCAGCCUCAGGUCAGCUAAACAAAUACAUGCAAUCCUCCUCCACCUGUGGGUGAUUUUCCUUGGCCAGUAGUUAGGGACAGCUGAGGCUGGGUGGGGUGAGGGCUGAUUGCCUGGAAUGGGAGAGGGGACAGCUGGGGGUAUGUGCUGCAGGAGGGAGCCAGCUGGGGGGGGACGGGGGGGUUCAGCUGCAAGAAAUGAAGGGCUUUUGGGGCUGGGACUCAGGUGAAGCCCAAGCACACCCCACAGAAUGGCUGUUAUCCCUCCGGGUGCCCCACACACCCCCACACUGUGCCCUGUGAUAUUCCCCCAGGCAAUAUUAUGGGAUAUUCCACCGCAUUAGCAAGUCCAACUUGUUUUUACUGCCCAGUGUCUCUCUGUGCAAUAUUUCACUGUCUCACUGGCUAUUAUCCUGGCGGCACGAAGUCCCAUUGAAAUUCAUGGUGCAAGUUGCCCAUUUGUUUCCUUUGAGCUUUGCAGGGUUGUUCUGUGCAGCUUUAUGCAUAUCAUUUUUGCUAUGCAAAGCGCGGGUAACGAUUUUACCUGCUCUCUUUCAAAGCACUAGAUAAAGCCUGUCCCCAUGCCUUAGACUGAUCUUAGAAUAUUUGUUCUAGUGGUGGGGAAGGAUGAAUCAGAGCUCUUGGGGAGUGUGCAAUCCGAUGCUCUGUAAAUAAAAGAAAGUCAUGUUGCAUCUACGUGUCCCCGGGGCAGGCGUGUGCUCCCUGUCAACCUUUCUUGCUAGGGUUUGUCUUCAGGGAUGGCUCUGGCAAAGCCAAGUAGCUUCAUCUCAAUGACAGCCCUGGAGCAGAGUCGCUUGGUUUGGCCGAAGCCACUGAUGAGCUCGAACCAGCUCUGCCUUUUAAGGAACAGAUGAGGUCCCUCGUGCAUGACAAGGCAAAACUCCUUGAGCAAAGGGUCACCAGGAGUGUAGAACUGGAGGCACAGCAACAAAGGAAUGCUUUUGCUGUGAAGCCCUUCAGACCUGGGCUGGCUUGCCUCUAUCACCAUCCCACAAAAGGCUAAGCUUGGUGUACCAACGACACACCUUCAGCAUCCUAAAUGAGGCCCCCAGAUGAGCAGCCACACAUGAAAGCAAAGAGUCACAAUGUCUGUGCUGGGGUCUCUGCAUAAACCAAAGGGGCAGAGAGAUUUUUUUUCUCUGCAUCAGUGGUGUCUACAAGCCAAGAGUUGUUCACCUAGGAGAUUUGGGAGUAACACCAAACACACAUUGGAGAAUUUCUCGGUCUUUUCAUGGACAAUGCAUGUAUGAGAGGGAGGAAAAAGAAAAAAAGCCAACGCCUUAAAUAAGUUAUUCCUUGUGAAUAAUUCCCUCUGUUUACUUGCCUGGAGGUCUUCAGGUGUAAGGUGCUAUAUAAUCAGCACUACAUCACAUGCCAGGGUAUCCAGAGAGCCCAAAAGAAACCAUCACAGAGUUCAGCACCGGUGGGAUGCAUCCCCUGGGAGGACACCCAGCCUGUGCUGCCCUGAAUGCAGAGCCACAGGCGUGGAAUCCAUCAUGAGCUGUGGGGAUGCAGGCAGGGCAGGGCAACGGCAAUGAGCAUCACUGGAGUAGGACCCUCUCCCCCUGGGCCGUGGGCUGCCAGAACCCCCUGUCCUCAAUGUCGGUUCCUUCCACUGAUGUAAAAUUGACUUUUUGAAAGUUUCAAAGACAAAAAGGGAAAUCAGAACAAAUGGGAAUCCAUAAAAACACAUCCAGGCUGCCAAGUCUACAGCAGCCACAAUUUGCAAUGGAUGAGAUAUUAACACCCUGAAAAAUUGGGGUAAUGAUGUGCAGUAAUAUUUGUCAUCACCAAGGCUGAGUACGUUAAACAAAACCGUUCUGAAAUACAGCUUCUGCCCGAGCCUGGUAACUCCUUCCCAGAUGUAAAUAUCAGUGUUGUUUUCCAAGCGUUCCUUAAAUACCAUAAGGCUUUCCUCUACUUACAGCACUAACAGCCCGUAAAAUGUCAUUUUUUGUUUUCUAAUUAGUCUGAUGAUUUUUAGAUGGGAUUUGACAGCAACAGCUAAGAAGCAUCUCAGCCUGCAAAAAAUUCUCCCUGGGAUGGUAAGUCACCCGCAGCUGCACCACGGAACCACACGACAGCUCCUCUGCACAGCAAUGGGAUGGAAAUUCAGCUCUGCUCACCCCUGGGGCUGGGGAUGCCAACUGCUGUGGGGGUGCGGUGGGAAAGGGGUGCUGGCCAUCCCACAGGGAGCUUCUCCGUCGCUCAUGGCCCAUUUUGGAUGGGAGCACGGAGUUUGGCUCUCACCAUGGGUCCGUGCUGUAAUGGGGCUCACAUGCAGGGUUCGGGUACUCAUGAUUUCUAAGGGAUCUGGCUUGCCCAAGGUCACACCAUUCAGAAGCACCGAUGUCCUUCUCUAACUGAAUCCCUCCUGCACAGACAAAUGGAGCACUGCCCAGUCUGCUGUUGGCCAGCACUUCCCUUGCAGGUGAUGUUACAAAAGGCAGCAGAGGAGCUCUGUUCCCAUGCCUCCUCCACGUCACCGGGAGAAGCAGCCAAUGCUUUAUUAACCACCCUCUCCCUCCUUUACUGCUGGCUGAACUGGGUUAGGGCUUCUCAAACCUGCUGUGUCAGUCUUCUGCUGGUAGAGGGGAACAGCCAGCAUGUCUGUCCUGACCCCAGACACCUUUAUCACAGCAUCUGAGCAAGGCUACAUCUUUUUCUCCUUCCUGCCUUUAAUAAUAUUAUCAAUGUCUGGUUUGGAUUUUUACUAAAUAUAGGGCUAGAGGCUGGGGUGGUAUCACUUCCUCCCAGACAAAUUAGAACGGCCUGUUUAGAAGUACCUAUACUUACUUUUAUUUGCUUAUCUUGCAAGUUGUUUGAUUGCCCGCCACUGUUCCACCUCUGCUUGGCCUGGCAGCUUGUACUGGUGCUGCCUUAAAGCCCACCCCAAUCCAUGGGUGAGCCUGGAGAUUUGGGGCUGCUCUUCCAAAUCAGCCCCGGGUAGCUGAGCUGCAUGCUAGGGGAUGCAAAGAGCCUUUUGCAAAUCAUCCCUCCCUGCUGAGCUCCGUGGGUGAGGACCUGCAGUGGAACACAGCAUUGGUGGCAUCCUUGUCCCUUGCAGGUACUUCUCCCUCCAGCAGCCAGGAAGGGAAAUGGAACAGCUCGGUGAUGCUCAAGAGUGUUCAGCAAAGGCAGAGAAUGGACAGGACCUCUUAUCUCCAUCCUCCCAGGAAGGUGCCAGAACCCACGGUGCCCUCCUGCCUAUUUCAUCUCACUGCCUGCAACCUGCCCACCCACUUAUUCACUCCAAGCAAUUACGAGAGGAUCCUCUGACUUCAGGGCACGAGCCCAUGAGGCAUGCAAGAAAUGGGUUAUCCCUCCUCCAGGGACUCAACGAUCCUUAAGGGUACCUUCCAACUCAAGAUAUUCUAUGAUACUAUGAAUCAUGGAUGGAGGGUCCCCUUGCUUUAAGAAUGAGUCCAGUUGGUAGCAGGGAAGGGAACGAGGACAAGGAAGAGGAAAAGAAAAGGAGGAGAGAAAUGGGAAAGAGAAGAACCCCAGAGCAACCAGCUCACACAGAAACCAAGCCCUGCAGCCUCCCCAGCAGGCCAGAGGCCACGCCAGGGCUGUGGAGCAGCUGAUGAGCUCCUCCUGCCCCAGCCUCUCCACCACACAGGGCUUCCUCCUGCCUUUUGGUGAGUGCUUCCCCAGGGUGUGUGCCAUGCCAGGUUGCCAGCUGCUGUUUGGAGAGAGGCCACAGCCUGCCUGUUCGCCGGCUGUCUCCCAGUUCUAUUACUCCACGCUUCAGGCUUUUGGCUGCAUUGUUGUUGUUGUUGCUAUUAAGCUGAAAGGAGUGACAUUUCUUUCCCGCACCCACCUUCUCUGUCUCCGCUGCCACAUCCCUGCAGGGCUGCACAAAGGACUUGCUGGGUUUUGGGGACACCUUGGGAUGUCAUGAAGCACAGUGCUAGGAGAGAGGGAAAAGCACUUUUAUUCCAGGGGCAGACACACUUCAAUCACUCUGAAGUUUCAUGCUGUGCUGAUGAAAAAGCAUUAAAAGAGGCCCUGUGAGUACAGGAUGGCCAUCUCUGGGGCAGGACAGCGCAUGGGGAGGGCUGAACAUGGGGCACACUGGCUACAACCAGGGCUUGGGGAACCUGGGGUGCACCAGGAGAUGUGAGCAGGUGUUUUGCUGCAGCCUCGUUGCUGCCCCAGCUGCACCUGCCUGCAUAC
Molecule: long non-coding RNA, 8263 nt
Filed under: Gallus gallus (chicken)
Lineage: Eukaryota; Metazoa; Chordata; Aves; Galliformes; Phasianidae
Description: lncRNA (ENSGALG00010022856.1)
Source: RNAcentral